GACGAACGCUGGCGGCGUGCUUAACACAUGCAAGUCGAACGGAAAAGCCCUGCUUUUGUGGGGUGCUCGAGUGGCGAACGGGUGAGUAACACGUGAGUAACCUGCCCUUGACUUUGGGAUAACUUCAGGAAACUGGGGCUAAUACCGGAUAGGAGCUCCUGCUGCAUGGUGGGGGUUGGAAAGAUUCGGCGGUUGGGGAUGGACUCGCGGCUUAUCAGCUUGUUGGUGGGGUAGUGGCUUACCAAGGCUUUGACGGGUAGCCGGCCUGAGAGGGUGACCGGCCACAUUGGGACUGAGAUACGGCCCAGACUCCUACGGGAGGCAGCAGUGGGGAAUAUUGCACAAUGGGCGGAAGCCUGAUGCAGCAACGCCGCGUGCGGGAUGACGGCCUUCGGGUUGUAAACCGCUUUCGCCUGUGACGAAGCGUGAGUGACGGUAAUGGGUAAAGAAGCACCGGCUAACUACGUG
RNAcentral lists this ribosomal RNA (468 nucleotides) under uncultured bacterium. Its description in RNAcentral is "partial 16S ribosomal RNA". It matches the Rfam family "Bacterial small subunit ribosomal RNA", at positions 28 to 507 of the family's 1533-position model. The record is from RNAcentral.